Molecule: ribosomal RNA, 492 nt
Filed under: uncultured bacterium
Lineage: Bacteria
Description: partial 16S ribosomal RNA
Rfam family: Bacterial small subunit ribosomal RNA
Source: RNAcentral
AGUGAACGCUGGCGGCAGGCCUAACACAUGCAAGUCGAACGGCAGCACAGUAAGAGCUUGCUCUUACGGGUGGCGAGUGGCGGGCGGGUGAGGAAUACAUCGGAAUCUACUUUUUCGGGGGGCUUAAGGAAGGUAAACUUACUACAGUACAGCAUCCGCCGUAGGGUGGAAGGCGGGGGAACUUCGGGCCUGGGGGGAUUGAAUGAGCGGCUGUCGAAUUAGCUGGUGGGGGGGGUAAAGGCCAACCAAGCCGACGAUCCGUAGCUGGUCUGAGAGGAUGAUCAGCCACACUGGAACUGAGACACGGUCCAGACUCCUACGGGAGGCAGCAGUGGGGAAUAUUGGACAAUGGGCGCAAGCCUGAUCCAGCCAUACCGCGUGUGUGAAGAAGGCCUUCGGGUUGUAAAGCCCUUUUGUUGGGAAAGAAAAGCAGCAGGUUAAUACCCCGCUGUUCUGACGGUACCCAAAGAAUAAGCACCGGCUAACUUCGUG